CUUGGCUGUCCGGAAGCUCCCACCGUCACGCCCGCACUGCCCUUUAGAUGAGACCUCCGCCGCAAGUCCGGACCCUGAAUCCGCAGGUGCGCAGACACAGAGACCUCUGCAGGCAGUCAUGUUGGAACCCAAGGAGUAGAUGAGAUUUCAGACGUCAGAGAAAUGUCGACGGAAUGGCCACUCAGGUAGUGAAGAUUGUCUUGGCAGCCGCUGUUUUAUGGAGCUAUUAACUCAG
Long non-coding RNA from Sciurus carolinensis (gray squirrel), 235 nucleotides. RefSeq lists it as uncharacterized. The record is from RefSeq and is a predicted model, not a curated record. Lineage: Eukaryota; Metazoa; Chordata; Mammalia; Rodentia; Sciuridae. The transcript has 3 exons.